GAUGAACGCUGGCGGCGUGCCUAAUACAUGCAAGUAGAACGCUGAAGGAGGAGCUUGCUCUUCUGGAUGAGUUGCGAACGGGUGAGUAACGCGUAGGUAACCUGCCUGGUAGCGGGGGAUAACUAUUGGAAACGAUAGCUAAUACCGCAUGACAACAGUUAUUGCAUGAUAACUGUUUAAAAGGGGCAACUGCUCCACUACCAGAUGGACCUGCGUUGUAUUAGCUAGUUGGUGAGGUAACGGCUCACCAAGGCGACGAUACAUAGCCGACCUGAGAGGGUGAUCGGCCAAACUGGGAAUGAGACAAGGCCCAGAAUCCUACGGGAGGCAGCAGUAGGGAAUCUUCGGCAAUGGACGGAAGUCUGACCGAGCAACGCCGCGUGAGUGAAGAAGGUUUUCGGAUCGUAAAGCUCUGUUGUAAGAGAAGAACGAGUGUGAGAGUGGAAAGUUCACACUGUGACGGUAUCUUACCAGAAAGGGACGGCUAACUACGUG
Molecule: ribosomal RNA, 495 nt
Filed under: uncultured bacterium
Lineage: Bacteria
Description: partial 16S ribosomal RNA
Rfam family: Bacterial small subunit ribosomal RNA
Source: RNAcentral